AAUUUUAAUUAUAUAGAUUAGAUGCUUUAUUUUUCAUACAACUUUAUAUCACAUGCAACAAACCUAUGAUUUCAAGAUCUAAGAUUUUGUAGAAAAAUAAGUUCUUCCUUUUGUAUUCUUCUUCAUGGGAUCUAAUCAUAUGGUACCCCUACAUGCCAUAAGAGUACCCCAUCGAAUAGGAAGAGAGGGUCUUUAAAUCUUUCUUGCUCCUAU
RNAcentral lists this long non-coding RNA (213 nucleotides) under Elaeis guineensis (African oil palm). RNAcentral's name for it is "long non-coding RNA (EGUI_LNC036176)". Lineage: Eukaryota; Viridiplantae; Streptophyta; Magnoliopsida; Arecales; Arecaceae. The record is from RNAcentral.